GACCAGACUCCUACGGGAGGCAGCAGUGGGGAAUAUUGCACAAUGGGGGAAACCCUGAUGCAGCGACGCCGCGUGAGCGAUGAAGUAUUUCGGUAUGUAAAGCUCUAUCAGCAGGGAAGAAAAUGACGGUACCUGACUAAGAAGCCCCGGCUAACUACGUGCCAGCAGCCGCGGUAAUACGUAGGGGGCAAGCGUUAUCCGGAUUUACUGGGUGUAAAGGGAGCGUAGACGGCUGUGCAAGCCAGAUGUGAAAGCCCGGGGCUCAACCCCGGGACUGCAUUUGGAACUGUGUAGCUGGAGUGUCGGAGAGGCAGGCGGAAUUCCUAGUGUAGCGGUGAAAUGCGUAGAUAUUAGGAGGAACACCAGUGGCGAAGGCGGCCUGCUGGACGAUGACUGACGUUGAGGCUCGAAAGCGUGGGGAGCAAACAGGAUUAGAUACCCGGGUAC
This 447-nucleotide ribosomal RNA is filed under the name uncultured bacterium. Its description in RNAcentral is "bacterial SSU rRNA". It matches the Rfam family "Bacterial small subunit ribosomal RNA", at positions 329 to 793 of the family's 1533-position model. The record is from RNAcentral.